CAAAAGAUAGUUUAAAAAAAACACUGGUCUCGGAAUCCAGCAACAGAUCCCAUCUUCUUUUGA
RNAcentral lists this transfer RNA (63 nucleotides) under Acanthosaura armata (armored pricklenape). Its description in RNAcentral is "tRNA-Pro". The record is from RNAcentral. Lineage: Eukaryota; Metazoa; Chordata; Lepidosauria; Squamata; Agamidae.